This 443-nucleotide ribosomal RNA is filed under the name uncultured bacterium. Its description in RNAcentral is "partial 16S ribosomal RNA". It matches the Rfam family "Bacterial small subunit ribosomal RNA", at positions 338 to 795 of the family's 1533-position model. The record is from RNAcentral.
CCUACGGGCGGCAGCAGUGGGGAAUAUUGGGCAAUGGGCGAAAGCCUGACCCAGCAAUGCCGCGUGAAUGAAGAAGGUCUUAGGAUUGUAAAAUUCUGUCCUAUGGGAAGAAAAAAAUGACGGUACCAUAGGAGGAAGCCCCGGCUAACUACGUGCCAGCAGCCGCGGUAAUACGUAGGGGGCGAGCGUUGUCCGGAAUUACUGGGCGUAAAGGGAGCGUAGACGGUUAUGUAAGUCUGGAGUGAAAGCCCGGGGCCCAACCCCGGGACUGCUUUGGAAACUGUGUAACUGGAGUACAGGAGGGGCAGGCGGAAUUCCUGGUGUAGCGGUGAAAUGCGUAGAUAUCAGGAGGAACACCGGCGGCGAAGGUGGCCUGCUGGACUGAAACUGACGUUGAGGCUCGAAAGCGUGGGGAGCAAACAGGAUUGGAUACCCGUGUAGUU